RNAcentral lists this long non-coding RNA (424 nucleotides) under Setaria viridis. Its description in RNAcentral is "long non-coding RNA (SVIR_LNC001633)". The record is from RNAcentral. Lineage: Eukaryota; Viridiplantae; Streptophyta; Magnoliopsida; Poales; Poaceae.
GAUGUUCGGAUGCUAAUUAGGAGAACUAAACAUGAGCUAAUUAUAAAACUAAUUGCAUAACACUGUGCUAAUUCGCGAGACAAAUCUAUUAAACCUAAUUAAUCCAUCAUUAGUAAAUGGUUACUGUAGCACCACAUUGUCAAAUCAUGGACUAAUUAGGCUUAAUAGAUUCGUCUCACGAAUCACACUCCAUCUGUGCAAUUAGUUUUUUAAUUAGUCUAUGUUUAAUACUCAUAACUAGCAUCCAAACAUCUCGAUGUGAUGGGUGUUAAACUUUAACACCUUGUUGCCAAACAGGCUUUUAGUAAAACAACAAAUGUCUAUAAUGCUAUUAUCCUUUUUUUCUUCUUCCUUUUCUCUUCUUUUCUUCGUAUUUCCGGCGUCCCAAAAUAAAUGCAAUUAUUUUUUUCCUACUUCCUCCGUC